AAGGCUUUAACUUAAAUUAAAGUGUCUGGUUUGCGUCCAGGAGAUGUGGGAUAGUGUCUUGCAAGUCUUA
RNAcentral lists this transfer RNA (70 nucleotides) under Scutiger ningshanensis (Ningshan alpine toad). Its description in RNAcentral is "tRNA-Ala". It matches the Rfam family "tRNA". From Rfam's summary of the family: Transfer RNA (tRNA) molecules are approximately 80 nucleotides in length. Their secondary structure includes four short double-helical elements and three loops (D, anti-codon, and T loops). Further hydrogen bonds mediate the characteristic L-shaped molecular structure. tRNAs have two regions of fundamental functional importance: the anti-codon, which is responsible for specific mRNA codon recognition, and the 3' end, to which the tRNAs corresponding amino acid is attached (by aminoacyl-tRNA synthetases). tRNAs cope with the degeneracy of the genetic code in two manners: having more than one tRNA (with a specific anti-codon) for a particular amino acid; and 'wobble' base-pairing, i.e. permitting non-standard base-pairing at the 3rd anti-codon position. The record is from RNAcentral. Lineage: Eukaryota; Metazoa; Chordata; Amphibia; Anura; Megophryidae.